Molecule: ribosomal RNA, 492 nt
Filed under: uncultured bacterium
Lineage: Bacteria
Description: partial 16S ribosomal RNA
Rfam family: Bacterial small subunit ribosomal RNA
Source: RNAcentral
AGUGAACGCUGGCGGUAGGCCUAACACAUGCAAGUCGAACGGCAGCACAGUAAGAGCUUGCUCUUACGGGUGGCGAGUGGCGGACGGGUGAGGAAUACAUCGGAAUCUACUUUUUCGUGGGGGAUAACGUAGGGAAACUUACGCUAAUACCGCAUACGACCUACGGGUGAAAGCAGGGGAUCUUCGGACCUUGCGCGAUUGAAUGAGCCGAUGUCGGUUUAGCUAGUUGGCGGGGUAAAGGCCCACCAAGGCGACGAUCCGUAGCUGGUCUGAGAGGAUGAUCAGCCACACUGGAACUGAGACACGGUCCCGACUCCUACGGGAGGCAGCAGUGGGGAAUAUUGGACAAUGGGCGCAAGCCUGAUCCAGCCAUACCGCGUGGGUGAAGAAGGCCUUCGGGUUGUAAAGCCCUUUUGUUGGGAAAGAAAAGCAGCAGGUUAAUACCCCGCUGUUCUGACGGUACCCAAAGAAUAAGCACCGGCUAACUUCGUG